AUUGAACGCUGGCGGCAGGCCUAACACAUGCAAGUCGAACGAGUGGCGGACGGGCGAGUAAUGUCUGGGCACCUGCCUGAUGGACGGGGAUAACUACUGGAAACGGUAGCUACUACCGCAUACCACCGGAUCUGCCCUGAUGGGUUUAGCUAGUGGGUGGGGUAAAGGCUCACCUAGGCGACGAGCCCUAGCUGGUCUGAGAGGCUGACCGGCCACACUGGAACUGAGACACGGUCCAGACUCCUACGGGAGGCAGCAGUGGGGAAUAUUGCGCAAUGGGCGAAAGCCUGAUGCAGCCAUGCCGCGUGUGUGAAGAAGGCCUUCGGGUUGUAAAGUACUUUCAGCGGGGAAGCGGUACCCGCAGAGGAAGCACCGGCUAACUCCGUGCCAGCAGCCGCGGUAAUUC
RNAcentral lists this ribosomal RNA (406 nucleotides) under uncultured bacterium. Its description in RNAcentral is "partial 16S ribosomal RNA". It matches the Rfam family "Bacterial small subunit ribosomal RNA", at positions 30 to 526 of the family's 1533-position model. The record is from RNAcentral.